This 498-nucleotide ribosomal RNA is filed under the name uncultured Paraglomus. RNAcentral's name for it is "SSU rRNA". It matches the Rfam family "Eukaryotic small subunit ribosomal RNA", at positions 591 to 1092 of the family's 1831-position model. RNAcentral also lists the same sequence under 1 other name. The record is from RNAcentral. Lineage: Eukaryota; Fungi; Glomeromycota; Glomeromycetes; Paraglomerales; Paraglomeraceae.
CCAAUAGCGUAUAUUAAAGUUGUUGCAGUUAAAAAGCUCGUAGUUGAACUUCAGGCCUGGCUGGACGGUCCGCCUUCCGGGUGAGUACUGUCUGUGGUCGGGUCCUACCUUCUGGCGAAGCGUCAUGGCCUUAACCGGCCGUGGCGGGGAACCAGGACUUUUACUGUGAAAAAAUUAGAGUGUUCAAAGCAGGCAAUUCGCUUGGAUACAUUAGCAUGGAAUAAUGGAAUAGGACAAUUGUUCUAUUUGUUGGUUUCUAGGACUGUUGUAAUGAUUAAUAGGGAUAGUUGGGGGCAUUAGUAUUCAAUUGUCAGAGGUGAAAUUCUUGGAUUUAUUGAAGACUAACUACUGCGAAAGCAUUUGCCAAGGAUGUUUUCAUUAAUCAAGAACGAAAGUUAGGGGAUCGAAGACGAUCAGAUACCGUCGUAGUCUUAACCAUAAACUAUGCCGACUAGGAAUCGGGCGAUGUUGACAAAAUGACGCGCUCGGCACCUCAUG